This 2268-nucleotide long non-coding RNA is filed under the name Musa acuminata (dwarf banana). Its description in RNAcentral is "long non-coding RNA (MACU_LNC006940)". Lineage: Eukaryota; Viridiplantae; Streptophyta; Magnoliopsida; Zingiberales; Musaceae. The record is from RNAcentral.
ACAUCCUCUCCUCUGUUUCCACCUGCGGGAAACAGAGGUGCUGCAGCUCUAGCUGCAGCUGCUGCCUCUCUCUCUCUCCUCUCCAUUUUCCCUCACUUCUUCUUCUUCUUCUUCUUCUUUUCUUCUCUUCUCCCUCAACUUCUCUUCUUCUUCUCCCCAAGAAACACAGAGAGCGUGGGAGGUGGUGGGAUAAAACCGAAAUUUUCGGUUUUCUUUAUUUUUUUUACUUUUUACAACUUAACAGUUUAGUCCUUGAAAUUUCUAUUUUUGCAUAAAGGUCCUCCAAUUUACAUAUAAAUCUUUAUUAAUAAUUUUCAAAAGUGAGGGAUAUUACACUCUCCCCUCCUUAAAAGAAAAUUUAGUCCUUUAAAUUGAUCAUAGCUCAAUCGAUGAAAAGAUGAGGAUUAUGAUUUCUUUAUUUCCUCCUGGUACUCUCAAAUAAUUUUAUUAAUACAAUACAAUUAUACAAUUAUCGAAGAGUGGCCGAAAUAUUCUCCUCCUUGAUCCUCAAUAGAUGAUAACCCGACAUUCAAACAAUCUUUGAAAAUACCUAUGUACCGUGCAGUUAAUCAAAUAAGUCGUCACUUUAGAGAAUACUCGUUUUUUGAUGAUUACCUGAUUCAACUUUCUAUAAUCAAUACAAAUCCUCAAUGUUCCAUCCAUCUUUUUAACUAACACCGGAGCACCCCAUGAUGAAAUAUUAAGUCAAAUAAAAUCCUUAUUUAAUAGUCCUUUUAGUUUCUUUUCUAAUUCCACUUACUCAAAUGAUAUCAUUGUGUAGAGAGGCUUAGAUAUUGGGAUUAUCCCAAGGACCAAAUCAAAAGCAAAGUCACGUUUGGAUGUAAUCCAAACAAGUCAUCCUGGGAUACAUUAGACAAGGAGAUAAAUCAUGUCCAAUACUCUCAAAAUAAAAGAUCGAUUGAUCAAAUAUGCAAAAAGUGAUCAUUUGUUAUAUACCAAUCCAUACUUGUAUGAUAGGAAGAUAGCCAAUCCAUACCAAGUAUAAUAUCAAAACUCCAAAUCUCUAGGAGAACUAAAUCAGCAAAAAAAAUUCAAGUUCUCCAAUAAAAUCAGACAAGAGGACCAGAUUCAAGUUCGUUAUCAAAGAAUCUCCAAUGAUCGUAUUUACAUAUAGCACAUAAUGUAGUGGUCUAGGUUGAAUACCCAAGUGAUAAGCAAAAUAUUACGAAUCAAAUCGUAGAUGGGACCCAUGGUCAAACAAAUAUUUGUAUUCUUUCAUAAACAUGCAUAAUACCUUCGAUCACUAAUUCAGAAGUUUUAGAAUCAUAUUCAGUGAUAGCAUACACUCUGAAAUGGGCUGAUGAUUUAUAAGGCAGUGACCUUUUCUUCUUGUUCAAAGGGCAGUCUUUUAUUUUAUGAUCCAACUUUCUACAAGCAAAAUAGACUCCAGUCACCUAGAAACACAAAUUUGUUUCAUAAUUUAACUUUAAUUCACACAUGAUAGAGUCUUUUAUGGUGACUUCUCAUUUCAAAUCCAAAUGUUUUGACCCUCUUGUUAUUACUUUCUGAUUCAUUUCCAAUCAUAUUUGUAUUGGUAAACUUUUCCUUAUCAUUCUUACCACCGAUCUACAAAAAUUCUUUUUAUUAUUGCCAUUAAUGAUCAACCUCUACUUCCACUAUAAGGUAGCAAAAGAAAUCUUAUGAUCAUCAGAACAAUUUUGUACAUCAAAUAUCUUCUUCGUUUGCAUCAUCCAUUUUUCUACCACCAAUGAAAUUAGGCCCACCAUACUUUCAUUGCGCUACUCUGAUUUAGUAUUCUCGAUCAAUACUUUCAUCCCCCUUAAUUAAUCAGAAACAAAUGAAAUAGGAGGACCAAAUGUCCUCAUCAUCCCAGAUUCCUAAAAUGCAUCAAAGAAAAUUUCCACCGAUCAGUAUAGUUCACUAGACCUCGAUAUAUUUUGCACGUCAACAUAUUAAAUAUUUCAAUGAUCCACAAACCUUGCUCUGAUACCACCUUUGUCACGCCCCUCAAAUAAUAUCGAUGAUUUUAAAAUUUUCAUCACAAACCAAUCCAGGAUCCAAACACACAUUUGAGGACACUAAAAGACAUUAUAUCAAAUUCACAUCUAUAAAACCUGUGCAGUUUAUAAUCAUAUAUCACAUCACCCGAUAAUUCACAUUUAUGGUAAUCCCAAGCCAACUUCACAAACAUGAACAACAUUUAUAAAUCCACAAGCUAAAUAAAUUAUACAAUCAGAACUCCAACUCUUCACCACAAGUUCAUAUCAUCAUAAAUUAGACUUAACA